GUGCCAGCCGCCGCGGUAAUACGUAGGUGGCAAGCGUUGUCCGGAUUUACUGGGCGUAAAGCGCGUGCAGGCGGUUUGUUAAGUGCAGGGUGAAAGCUCCCGGCUCAACUGGGAGAGGUCCUUGCAUACUGGCAGACUUGAGGGGGGUAGAGGAGAGUGGAAUUCCCGGUGUAGUGGUGAUAUGCGUAGAUAUCGGGAGGAACACCAGUGGCGAAGGCGGCUCUCUGGGCCCUACCUGACGCUGAGACGCGAAAGCGUGGGGAGCGAACCGGAUUAGAUACCCGCGUAGUCC
This 292-nucleotide ribosomal RNA is filed under the name uncultured bacterium. Its description in RNAcentral is "partial 16S ribosomal RNA". It matches the Rfam family "Bacterial small subunit ribosomal RNA", at positions 505 to 796 of the family's 1533-position model. The record is from RNAcentral.